UACGUAGGGUGCGAGCGUUAAUCGGAAUUACUGGGCGUAAAGCGUGCGCAGGCGGUUCGUUAUGUCCGAUGUGAAAGCCCCGAGCUCAACUUGGGAAUGGCAUUGGAAACUGGCGGGCUGGAGUGCGGUAGGGGAGAUCGGAAUUCCUGGUGUAGCGGUGAAAUGCGCAGAUAUCAGGAGGAACACCGGUGGCGAAGGCGGAUCUCUGGGCCGUAACUGACGCUGAGGAGCGAAAGCAUGGGGAGCGAACAGG
Molecule: ribosomal RNA, 253 nt
Filed under: uncultured bacterium
Lineage: Bacteria
Description: partial 16S ribosomal RNA
Rfam family: Bacterial small subunit ribosomal RNA
Source: RNAcentral